GACGAACGCUGGCGGCGUGCUUAACACAUGCAAGUCGAACGGAAAGGCCCUGCUUUUGUGGGGUGCUCGAGUGGCGAACGGGCGAGUAACACGUGAGUAACCUGCCCUUGACUUUGGGAUAACUUCAGGAAACUGGGGCUAAUACCGGAUAGGAGCUCCUGCUGCAUGGUGGGGGUUGGAAAGUUUCGGCGGUUGGGGAUGGACUCGCGGCUUAUCAGCUUGUUGGUGGGGUAGUGGCUUACCAAGGCUUUGACGGGUAGCCGGCCUGAGAGGGUGACCGGCCACAUUGGGACUGAGAUACGGCCCAGACUCCUACGGGAGGCAGCAGUGGGGAAUAUUGCACAAUGGGCGGAAGCCUGAUGCAGCAACGCCGCGUGCGGGAUGACGGCCUUCGGGUUGUAAACCGUUUUCGCCUGUGACGAAGCGUGAGUGACGGUAAUGGGUAAAGAAGCACCGGCUAACUACGUG
This 468-nucleotide ribosomal RNA is filed under the name uncultured bacterium. Its description in RNAcentral is "partial 16S ribosomal RNA". It matches the Rfam family "Bacterial small subunit ribosomal RNA", at positions 28 to 507 of the family's 1533-position model. The record is from RNAcentral.